This 459-nucleotide ribosomal RNA is filed under the name uncultured bacterium. RNAcentral describes it as "partial 16S ribosomal RNA". It matches the Rfam family "Bacterial small subunit ribosomal RNA", at positions 338 to 795 of the family's 1533-position model. The record is from RNAcentral.
CCUACGGGAGGCAGCAGUGAGGAAUAUUGGUCAAUGGGCGCGAGCCUGAACCAGCCAAGUCGCGUGAGGGAAGACGGUCCUAUGGAUUGUAAACCUCUUUUGUCGGGGAGCAAAAGACGCCACGCGUGGCGUUCCGAGAGUACCCGAAGAAAAAGCAUCGGCUAACUCCGUGCAAGCAGCCGCGGUAAUCCGGAGGAUGCGAGCGUUAUCCGGAUUUAUUGGGUUUAAAGGGUGCGCAGGCGGAAGAUCAAGUCAGCUGUAAAAUCGCGCGGCUCAACCGCGCCCCGCAGUUGAAACUGGUUUUCUUGAGUGAGCUAGAAGUAUGCGGAAUGCGUGGUGUAGCGGUGAAAUGCAUAGAUAUCACGCAGAACUCCGAUUGCGAAGGCAGCAUACCGGCGCUCAACUGACGCUCAUGCACGAAAGUGUGGGUAUCGAACAGGAUUAGAUACCCUGGUAGUC